GCCAUUCCAUUCGGCUGAUUAUUCAACUGCUGGUAGUUUUAUCCAUGAGGUUAGAAAUUUAGAAUUCAUUAUCAUUGCACUGUAGAUGGUUUAAAGGGAAGUACAGUUAAGCAUUUCAAUCUUGAAAAUGUUCUAGUGUGACAUUAACAGGAGUUCGUCAAAAGGCUGGAAAUACGCCCCCCAGUUAUGACGUCAAACUGCAGAUGGUAACUUCACAUAAUCAGUUCUUGUUUAAAUGUUGAAGGUGUUUCAGAAUGGAAAAAAGUGUCAGGAUUGGAUGUUAUCUGGGUUUUUACUAGCCACAAUAUCCAUCACUUCAUGCCAUCCGUUGAAGUAGGCCGGUCAUCAUGGCGGCACAUUUUACCAUCCCACUUCAUUGAAGAAACCCAACAACAUGUCGGAUCACCCAAAAGUUGGAUCAAUUCAAAAGUAAGCUGGAUAACAGAAUAUCUUCCAGGCGGUUCUGCUCUCACGGAAUGGUUCUUUAAUGCCAUCUGGAGACGAGUCAUUCAAACGCAUUCAAAGUCCCUCUUCUUACCUGAUCUCGUUCGGUGGUUCGGUUUUCCCGCAAAUAACCCACACGCUAAAAUGUAUCUCGACAAAAACUCGAGUAAAAAAGAUCUGAUGAUUCAAUAGCUCCGAUCCUGCACGCAUUUUUUUUUCCAAACCACACUUUCUUGGCAUUUCUCUUCAUCACGAGACACAAGUACAGAGAUGAAGUAAAAAAAUGUCUCGACAUUUUACUCGUGUCAAAUGCGGCUGUCAAAAUAAUUUCGGGGAAAUACGAAAAGUUUAUAAGGUGCCGCGUGGCUUUUAAGAAGUGAAAACGGUGAAAACUAAGAGAAAAAUCAUAAAUUGACCAAUGGAAAUCACGCUGUGGCCAAUAAACCUCUAGCUCUUGGCCAAGUUGCGAAAGACAACUGCAAUUAAUCAGUCCAGCACCAUUUUCCCUUUCGACGGCGUGUCGUUCAACUAAUGUGUAAGACGACUAACGGUAUCUCCGGACAAAGGUAAAAGAAGAAGCAGUUUAAACCAUUAGCAGUUCCAGAUAGUGCUGUUGCGGUGAGUUGUGUGUUAUUUUAAAUAGCGGAAAACCCGAGCGAGAAAGCGACUGGGAAAAAUAAGUUAUCUCAUUCCAGUACGAUAUAUGUCAGCCUGUUUCUGAUUGAACAACAAAGUAACUGACAGACCACAACUAGCACUAGACCUUUUGCAACAUGAAUUUUCUGACCAUGAGAAGCAGCACAGCUUGUCUGUUUUUACUUCAUCUUUCAAGCUGUUACGCUGGACCAGUCCGUUCGCUUCGUACGUCUGCAGUGAAAUUACACGAUUUCCUGAUGGCUAACAUCCAAGGAGUUGCUCGCAACGACCAGCCGAGUCAAAUACAAGAUUAUCUUAUUCCAAUUGAAGAGAAUAAUGGAGACCUUUCUGACACCACUAACGAACCUUUCGUAGACCAAUCGGCGUUUCAAGACUUUGACGUUCAAGAACCGGAACGGGUUACCCAUACUUUAACUUACUUCUCUUUGCCUGCUGUUUCUAAUGGUGGGACCGAACAGCCAGCAUUAUCAUUGGAUGCCAACGUCAUCCACAGCGACCUACCCAAUUCAGGUUCUAUUGGAACUGAUAUUCUAUCGGAUGUUCAAGAGCCAACACAGAACCUGGAAGAGCCUCAUUCCGAAAUUGUUGGCGAACAAGAGCCUGUUAUGGAUCAUAUGGUCGUCCAUAAAGAGUGCUGAGUUGCUGACAAGUAAAACCUCUAGCGACCCCAGAAUCGUCUGCUAGCUGAUAAGUUAGCACUUGGAAGAGUUAGCUCUGGACGUGCACUCAUAAUUCAACUUGUGGACUUGUGGUAGACGCAUGAGAGGUUCGUCCAAAGUGAGAAAAGAUGUUUUGAUGCGAUCUGCUGUUCUAUGCCGACCCUGCUGGGUGCGAGGGAUAUACCGCUGUUACGUGCUAACCCUACCCUAUUUUUACUCCUCACUAGGUUGAAAAUACUCCCCCAGUUUUGUCGUCAACCUACUCCAUGUGCUAACAUGACAUCAUCAGUUCUUGUUUCAAUGUGGAAGGAUUACUGUAAAGUAGCUGCCAAGGAGGAUAACAUGUCAGGAUUGGAUGUUAUUAGUUUUCUAGGGGUUUUUCCUUGCCACCAUAUCCGUCACUCCAAACCAUCCAUUGAAGUUGAAGCUGGUCAUCAUGGCGCGAUAUUUUACCACCCCACCCAUCGAACAGACCCAUCGAACAGACCCAUCGAUAGACAUGUCGCCUCAUCCAAAAAUGAGAAGCAGCACAGCUUGCCUGUUCUUACUUCAUCUUUCAAGCUGUUACGCUGGACCGGUCCGUUCGUCUCGUACUACGUUUGCAGUGAAAUUACACGAUGUCCUGGCUAACAUCCAAGGAGUUGCUCGCAACGACCAGCCGAGGCAAAUACAAGAUUAUCUUAUUCCAAUUGAAGAAAAUAAUGGAAACUUUUCUGACGUUUCAAGACUUUGACGUUCAAGAACCUGAAAUAGUUACCGACACUUUAACUUUCUUCUCUUCGCCUGGUGUUUCGGACGGGGCCAGCACUACCAUUGUGGGAUGCCAACGUCAUUCACAGCCACCUACCCAAUUCAGGUUCUAUUGAAACUGAGAUUCUAUCGGAUGUUCAAGAGCCAACACAGAACCUGGAAGAGCCUCAUUCCGAAAUUGUUGGCGAACAAGAGCCUGUUAUGGAUCAUCUGGUUGUCCUACCGAUAGAAACAACUGAUUAGCUCUAUCAUUUACCAACUGUUGCAGCACCUUCUGAUCCAGCGGAGCUUCUUCUAAUGUAUUCACUUGUGCGUGUCCCAACGGCUCCGUCAGCCACAUCCGCUACUGUGGCUGAUUCGCUUCUGGAAAUAAUGUUACCGUCCACGACAGAGAAAGUGGAAAUCAGUUCCUCACCUGAAUCUCUGUAUCAUUCAUCAGCCACUUCUGGACCGGAGCAAUGGAUCAGUGUCGACCCUCUUCCGCUGGAGUUGGAUCCAGCAAAGUCACAGACAACAUCGUCCUCCCUAAUCACCGAUUCCCAGCAGAUUAUCCAAGUUGAUCAACCCAAAUGUCAAUCAAACAUCUCGUACGAGCUCUUCACUACAGACAAUCCAAAUGGAAAAGAGAGCAACUCUUCCGGUCUUCCGUUCGGAACUCAUCGUUCUAAACUGAGGGAGCUGCGCUUUCCUCCUGUAUCAAACACGAAAGAAAAUUUUGGUGUUCAAAUCAAUUGGGAUGAAUUCAUGUAAUUGUGUUUCAAUCUGUCUGUGUGCAUUUUCAAAAUUCUCGCUUAAGCAACGAAAUGGAUGUGUAAACACGUUCAUUUCUAGUACUCACCGGUGUUGGGUCAUAAAGUUUUGCUAGUUGACACGAAUCACAUACUUCUUGAUGAAGUUUUCAUGUGCUAUAGUGUUUGUAGUUUUUCUCCUUAUUGCCUUUGCAAAUAUUAAAUGAGAAUUUUAAAAGA
This is an RNA transcript of Daphnia pulex (common water flea), 3478 nucleotides long. RefSeq lists it as uncharacterized. NCBI's taxonomy places the organism in Eukaryota, Metazoa, Arthropoda, Branchiopoda, Diplostraca, Daphniidae. The transcript is spliced from 14 exons. The record is from RefSeq and is a predicted model, not a curated record.